AUUAAAAAAAAAAAAAAAAAGAGACAACCUUUAAGCGGUAGACAUGUUAGAUAAGCGACUAGGCGUUGGCCGGAAAUUCCACCAGCGAAGGGUCAACUUCCGAUUGGGCGGUGUCAAGGCCCUCCUAAUUAUCUCUUUAUUCGCUUGACGCCUUUUCAACUUGUCACCAGGAAUAAGAUAACCAUGGCGGCUACACCUGGCAGAACCAGGACGGUUGGAGCAGGUACAAGAUGGACGUAACCUAGGAGAAGAUACAGGUGGUAGACGAUGAUUUCUACGGACCCGAUUGGUGUGAGCGGUGGUGUUUUCGGACGGCGGCGACUGUGUGGUCGGAAGUUGAAGCCUUUGAUUGUGGGGGAUGUUCAUUUUUGUUUGGAGGAUGGAGAAAAUGGAAGGGAGGGGUGGGGUUUUAUUGUGUUGGAAAAUGAGGAGUUGUUGGAAGACUUUUUCUUUGGCGAGUGGAAAAAGGCCGAGAGAGUUGACAAGCUGAACAGCUUGGUGAGUGCUUGGCCUUGGAAUUGUGAGGAUCGCAGAAAGAGCCUUAACUUUUGACCAUUAGAUUUAAUACCUGUCCAAACGGAGACGUUUGCUCGGUGUCCUUUGAGUGGAUACUUUUCACAAUUGCUCUUCUGUACGCCACAACUGGAACCUUCUGUCAUUUUUUUGGUCUAGGCUGCGUUGUUCUUUGCUUAUUCG
This 696-nucleotide unclassified non-coding RNA is filed under the name Hevea brasiliensis (rubber tree). Lineage: Eukaryota; Viridiplantae; Streptophyta; Magnoliopsida; Malpighiales; Euphorbiaceae. The record is from RNAcentral.